Molecule: non-coding RNA, 258 nt
Filed under: Leptomonas pyrrhocoris
Lineage: Eukaryota; Euglenozoa; Kinetoplastea; Trypanosomatida; Trypanosomatidae
Source: RNAcentral
GCGACGACGCGUGGGGCUCAAGUGCUGACAUGCUCCGCGGUGUGAUUCUGCAACGGCAGACGUGCGCGGGGUGGGCUGUUCCGUUGCCGGCCUGACCCUCUUCCCCUACUUUAACGGCGGACGCGCAGCACCCCUCUGCAGGGGGGCACGCCGCACCGACACACAGCCAAGCAGAGCACCGCGUCAACGCAGCAGAACACCCUUGCUGGUCCACGUCCUCCCCGCUCCACCUAAGAAGCCCCCGAAGGUUACAGAGCA